CUCAAAAGUGCCUCUGAGCCUGGCAUGCCUAUAAUCCCAGCGGCUCAGGAGGCUGAGGCAGGAGGAU
RNAcentral lists this microRNA precursor (67 nucleotides) under Ictidomys tridecemlineatus (thirteen-lined ground squirrel). Its description in RNAcentral is "miRNA (ENSSTOG00000034512.1)". The record is from RNAcentral. Lineage: Eukaryota; Metazoa; Chordata; Mammalia; Rodentia; Sciuridae.